AAAAUCCGGAGAGUCACAUUCCCUGAGGUGUCAUAGCGAGGGCUUACAGCCCGCAAAGUCGGUGACGCCAUGCUGCCAAGAAAAGCCUCUAAGGAGAGAAGUGGGUACCCGUGCCGCAAACCGACACAGGUAGGUGAGGAGAAAAUCCUCAGGCGCGAGUGAGAACCCUCGUUUAGGAACUCGGCAAACUGGCCCCGUAACUUCGGAAUAAGGGGUGCUCGAUUAGUGUGUAGGAUCCUCGCGGUUCUAUGCAUGAACGAGUUGCAGUAAAGAGGCCCAAGCAACUGUUUACUAAAAACACAGGGCUAUGCUAAGUCGAACACGACGUAUAUGGCCUGACGCCUGCCCGGUGCCGGAAGGUUAAAGGGAGAGGUUAGCCGCAAGGCGAAGCUUCGAGCUGAAGCCCCGGUAAACGGCGGCCGUAGCUAUAACGGUCCUAAGGUAGCGAAAUUCCUUGUCGGGUAAGUUCCGACCUGCACGAAUGGCGUAAUGAUUUGGGCGCUGUCUCAACGAGGGGCACUGCGAAUUUGUGGUACCGGUGAAGACGCCGGUUGCCCGUGUUUAGACGAAAAGACCCCGUGCACCUUUACUACAUCUUAGUAGUGAAUGCUGGCGUGUUAUGCGCAGGAUAGGUGGGAGACUGUGGUCCCGGGCUCUCGGGCUCGGGUGAGUCAACGGUGAGAUACCACCCUUAACACUCCGGCGUUCUAACCUCGAUCUGUCAUCCAGGUCAGGGACACUGCUAGGUGGGUAGUUUGACUGGGGCGGUCGCCUCCUAAACUGUAACGGAGGCGCGCGAAGGUUCGCUCAGGCUGUUUGGAAAUCAGCCGUAGAGUGCAAAAGCAUAAGCGAGCUUGACUGCGACACCUACAAGUGGAGCAGGUGGGAAACCAGGCUUUAGUGAUCCGGUGGUUCCGCGUGGAAGGGCCAUCGCUCAACGGAUAAAAGGUACGCCGGGAUAACAGGCUGAUCCUAGCCAAGAGUUCACAUCGACGCUAGGGUUUGGCACCUCGAUGUCGGCUCAUCACAUCCUGGAGCUGUAGCAGGUUCCAAGGGUUCGGCUGUUCGCCGAUUAAAGUGGUACGUGAGCUGGGUUUAGAACGUCGCGAGACAGUUCGGUCUCUAUCUGACAUGGGCGGAGGAAAUUUGAGGGGUCUUGACCUUAGUACGAGAGGACCGGGUUGAACGAACCUCUUGUGUACCGGUUAUCCCGCCAGGGGUAGCGCCGGGUAGCUACGUUCGGAAGUGAGAAACGCUGAAUGCAUCUAAGCGUGAAACACUCCCCAAGAUGAGAUUUCCCAGACCGCAAGGUCUCUAAAGGGUCCUGGAAGAUUACCAGGCUAAUAGGCUGGGUGUGGAAGCGUAGCGAUACGUGGAGCUAACCAGUACUAAUCACCCGUGAGGCUUGACC
Molecule: ribosomal RNA, 1411 nt
Filed under: metagenome
Description: bacterial LSU rRNA
Rfam family: Bacterial large subunit ribosomal RNA
Source: RNAcentral